Molecule: long non-coding RNA, 3354 nt
Organism: Dreissena polymorpha
Lineage: Eukaryota; Metazoa; Mollusca; Bivalvia; Myida; Dreissenidae
Exons: 5
Source: RefSeq, a predicted model, not a curated record
UAAAAUUAAAAACGAGGAUGUAUCCACAUCACCGUUGCACAUUGUUAUUAAUUUCACAGUUAUCUGUUCUUUAUUAGAGAUAGCCUAAUUAAAGACGGCGCUAAUAAAAUGUGAAGGUGGAUAUAAAGAAAUAAGGUCAAUUUCCGCACUGACAGUAUAGCAAGUAGUCUUAUAUAACAUAUUAAAAAUAUUCCAUGGUUAAAAAUGCACGAUGUUAUAUAGUAAAAGAGUGUGUUUGAGUAAUCAAUAGGAUAUUUUGUAUUGGCUAUAUUGUUUCACUCGUAAAGAAAAUACCAAAAUCGACGUGCGAAACGUAAAAAUUUAUAUCUGAAAUAAUAUUGUUAAGGGCGUUAAGCUAGUUAAAAAUAAUCACGAUUAUUUACUAUGUAUAAAUUAGAUAAAACGUUAAGAUGUAAAUUCUUAUCAUAAAUAUAAAAUGCACAUAAUAUUAUAAUAUUCAUUCAUAUUUCAUUAUUUCAGGUAAAAGUACAAACAUAUUGUUUUAAAUCCUAUGUAAUCAGCACUUUAUGUUGGAUUUCAACAAUGCUUAAUUAAUUAUCGGGUGUAGCAGCGGUGUACAUUACCCAUAUGAUAUAACGCAAAGGUAACGGUCAAGCGACUUCCCACAUUUAUAUGACAUGUUUUAUUAUCGUUAUCAGGUAUCUGUUAUGUGUCAACGGAUUAACGGACAUUGGUUGAUUACCCGAUAAUAUGCAAGUAUCAAAUGAUUUAGAUUCAUAAGUUAUGGGAAAACAUUAUAUGCCUGACCUGAAAAAUGUAAGUCAUAACAAAUAAUUAUAUUAUAAGUUCACUUACCAGAAUCACAACCUAAGUGUUGCCAUCGCUCGCAGGCAUCGCAAGAAACAGCACGUUGCCUCUGCCCAACUGUCUUUCCACAAUGUAUGCACUUUACCACUUCUGCCAUUGCAGAAACACAAAACUCACUUACUCUCACAGUAAAAUUAUUGUAUCCUACAUUUAAGAAGCACAAAUGUUUGAAAUAUUUAUAUAAAUUAGUUCAAUUUAUGAUUCACUGUGUGUGUUUCAGAGUUUAUUUACAGGUCCUACUGGCCUCUUCACGAGGUUAUGGUAGCCCGACCUGCCCCUGUGACCUCUCAGGGGAAAAAGAUUAAUUUAGAGCCAAAUUCCCAGAUCGCAGAACACGCCGCCCCCGCACAAGCGCACCCACGCCGAGCGAGCCCGAGCCCCCCCCCCCCCGCGCCCGCAUACGGCCCCGGCCCUAGCACCCAACCGCUGAAGACCCUCGAGACAAGCACCCUCAUCCACCCUCUCGCUGCGCGCGACAACAGAUCAGUCAAGAACCAACCAUGGAGCCCCCCAAAGCCCCACCCGGAGUCACCAUCGUUCUUUCCCACCCACCUGCCAAACAUCCAGACCAUGUAUCAAGCUGGGAUGUAUUUAUUUUGUAGUUAUGUUAUAUUUGCUAUUAUAAUUGGAUAGGUAAAGUAAAUAAAUGAUCUCAAAAUGCCGUUGUUAUAUCAUAUGAUUUAUUUAUGUUUUAUAUUAAUUUGUAAAACUCAUAGUAUUAUAGUUUAUGUCCCGUAUUCUAGCUUUCAUUUACCCAAGUGUGGUUAUUGUGCUCUCCGCCCCAUGAGAGGUGUUAGUGGGGGUUCGAGCAGGAUACAGGAAACGCCCCGAUUCCAGAGGCGCCCCUGGUUCUUUUAAGUGCCCGGUGUAUAGCACCGAUACACUGCACCCCCGUUUAACGUCUCUCGCGGAGGACAUAUUAGUACAUAGUGUUAGUAUCGGUACUUAUAUACAUGUGUAGUUCUGCUGUCUUGUGUCAUAUCUUACGGUAACGUGGGCUCUCUCUGUUGCUAUUUGGUAUAUAGUUUGAAUGUUAUUGCGAAGGGCAGGCUAGUUUUUGAAAGAUCAUGUAUUUGAUGAUAGAAGAAAGGGACUAUGUUUGUUUGAUUGGGCCGAUGACUAGUUCGUUGGGGGUAGAAAAUUUCUUUGUAAAUUCUUUCUUAUUGCUGUGUUAAGUGUCUUGUGAGACUGUGGUGUUGUAAGGGCCAGACUAGUUUUGAUAGGUCAUUUAUUUGAUGAAAGAAGAGAGGGCUGAGUUUGAGAUGAUAGUAAAUUUGGUAUUAGGGAGAGCGCACACGUUAGUGUUUCUGGUUAUAAAAGCAAAGACAGCAUUCCUAUGUGUUUUUGUAAUAUGCCAGGUUAGUAUCGUGGUCUGGUCUGGGGCAUAUGAUUCACUGAAAACUGCCCGCUUUAUAUACAGACAGCCCUCUUAAAUGAUCAGUCGCCAAAUACGCAAUCGCUCCGCCCACUAAGUUGUGUUUUCAUAAAACGCUUAUUCCAUUACUCCGUAAGUCUUUGUUUGUCGGACCAUGUGGCCGCAAUAAACGAAAUCUGAUUGAUUAUUACGUGAGUUUGAUUGACAGCUGGCGAGUGGUCAAUUACUUUAAAAAGAGCAUUGUUGUCUGGUUAAGCUUGUUAAUAACCUUAUGUAGUCUUUUAUCACGCCAAACUGUGAUACCAUAUGUCUUACUCAUAAAUCUGUGUCCAGACAAUCAAAGCAUGUCGGCAUAAUUAAUUUUCAUCAACUCACACUUUUACAAAACAUAACUAACACAAAAGCAUUCAAUUAUUCUUCUAUAUUUAAACCAAACUAUCAUACAAUAUGUCUGAUUAAAAAAUCUUUGAACAGAAAAUGAAAGCAUGCCGUCAAAUUAAACGUCGUUUAACAUUUCACGCUUGUUCAGAUUUCAGGGGCGAAUUGUCUUGGGGUGAGAUUUCUUUGGGGCGAGUUGUCUGAUUCCCAUUCCGAAUGGACUUUGAAAGAAACGAACGACAACUUUGUAAGAAAACCCGCCAAUGGGGCUCGCGACCAAUCGGAUGGAUGCUAUGCCUGCUGGGAUAGCCAUGCUCUUUUUCGACGCGGACAGUGGACCCGACAUGACCGACUUAACGGACUCGACGUGACGGACUCGACCUAAUCAAUUUUCUUUAUUCUUAGACUUAAGUCUAAGAAUUGUUUGGUGAAUACGGGCCUAGCAGAUUCUUUUGUGCACGAGAUGCGGUCAAAAAGAAGAAAAGACGAAAGAACCAAUCCAGACUUGGUGGCAGAGGAAAGUAUAAAAAAGAAUGCAGAUCUUGGUGGAUUUUGUGUGGAUACAAUUCCACCUAAAGGUAGAGGAGUUAGAACAGAAGUUCAUAGAAACAAGGGCGACUUUCUCCUUACCUAUCAUGGAGAAUUAAUCACAGGAGAAGAAGGCAAUAAAAGAGAACUAAUGUCUGUCUCUGUCUUCAGAUUCUUCUUUUCUUUCAAAGGGAAGCAGUGGUGCAUCGAUUCUACCCUGGAAGUCAAAAGUGGUCAGUUCUUGG